RNAcentral lists this ribosomal RNA (526 nucleotides) under Anaplasma phagocytophilum. RNAcentral's name for it is "bacterial SSU rRNA". It matches the Rfam family "Bacterial small subunit ribosomal RNA", at positions 70 to 627 of the family's 1533-position model. The record is from RNAcentral. Lineage: Bacteria; Pseudomonadati; Pseudomonadota; Alphaproteobacteria; Rickettsiales; Anaplasmataceae.
UCUUUAUAGCUUGCUAUAAAGAAUAAUUAGUGGCAGACGGGUGAGUAAUGCAUAGGAAUCUACCUAGUAGUAUGGGAUAGCCACUAGAAAUGGUGGGUAAUACUGUAUAAUCCCUGCGGGGGAAAGAUUUAUCGCUAUUAGAUGAGCCUAUGUUAGAUUAGCUAGUUGGUAGGGUAAAGGCCUACCAAGGCGAUGAUCUAUAGCUGGUCUGAGAGGAUGAUCAGCCACACUGGAACUGAGAUACGGUCCAGACUCCUACGGGAGGCAGCAGUGGGGAAUAUUGGACAAUGGGCGCAAGCCUGAUCCAGCUAUGCCGCGUGAGUGAGGAAGGCCUUAGGGUUGUAAAACUCUUUCAGUAGGGAAGAUAAUGACGGUACCUACAGAAGAAGUCCCGGCAAACUCCGUGCCAGCAGCCGCGGUAAUACGGAGGGGGCAAGCGUUGUUCGGAAUUAUUGGGCGUAAAGGGCAUGUAGGCGGUUCGGUAAGUUAAAGGUGAAAUGCCAGGGCUUAACCCUGGAGCUGCUUU